UAAAAUAUAAUUAAAAGUCGACUAUAAAUAAAAUAAAAAACUGUACCAAAUAUUAUGAAUGUUUAUAAAAAUAAAGGGGCCGGCCCAGUGAAAAUAUUGUGUAACGAAUAUUGACAAAAUGAUAAUACAUAAUAGGUACCUAAUGAAGACUUAUUUAUAAGCUACGAGUUAAAAUGACCGAGCUAAAAAUGAUCUUAUAUUAAGACAAUGACUAUGACUAAACUUAUGAUUAUGAACUAUGAGUAUGUAACGGAUAUCUGAUAAGGAUAAGGCUUAUUGAGGCAAGAUUUUAAGUGUGAAAUCUUAUGAGUAACUGUGAUGCUAAUCAAUAUGAAUAUGAAGUAACUAAUAUCAUAA
Long non-coding RNA from Ostrinia furnacalis (Asian corn borer), 357 nucleotides. RefSeq lists it as uncharacterized. The transcript has 2 exons. NCBI's taxonomy places the organism in Eukaryota, Metazoa, Arthropoda, Insecta, Lepidoptera, Crambidae. The record is from RefSeq and is a predicted model, not a curated record.